UGGAAAACUAGGACGCCACAUCAUGCGGACUAAAGAGGAAAUAGACAUUAAAGGCCUGCAUCUGUGAUGGUAUAGGGCUGGGUUAGUGCCAAAGGCAUGGUAACUUAUACAUCUGCGAAGGCACCAUUAUGCUAAAAGGUGCAUAAAGACAACAAAAGCUGCCAUACCAGGAUUUCUACAGGUGUCUCCGAGUGCAGCUAGUCCUGUGCAUUAAUGGAUGUAGAAUGCGGUGUGAUGCAUGCAGUUUGUCUACGUGCUCCAGGCAAGCUGGGAACGCCCCCCUGCUGAUGCCUCCCUAACAUCGAUCCCGCAGGAGUCAGGUGCACAGGCCUCGCUAUGAUUUAUGAGGAAACCCGCGCACUCUGCUCUUCAGAAAAGCUCCGAGCAGGCUCCUGACUUCAUCUUCUCCCAAGGAAUGAAGAAACGUAGGCAAAAAGGGGGCUGAGCUUCACUUCGUAAUAGACAUUCGAAGACAGCACACGCUCAUGUCCAAGACGGAUUUAAGCUGUACCACAUACAAACAGGAAGGAUUGUCUCAGGAGUGAUUUGUUUGAGGAUUCA
Long non-coding RNA from Corythoichthys intestinalis (scribbled pipefish), 561 nucleotides. RefSeq lists it as uncharacterized. The record is from RefSeq and is a predicted model, not a curated record. The transcript is spliced from 3 exons. Lineage: Eukaryota; Metazoa; Chordata; Actinopteri; Syngnathiformes; Syngnathidae.